Molecule: ribosomal RNA, 253 nt
Filed under: uncultured bacterium
Lineage: Bacteria
Description: partial 16S ribosomal RNA
Rfam family: Bacterial small subunit ribosomal RNA
Source: RNAcentral
UACGAAGGGGGCUAGCGUUGUUCGGAAUUACUGGGCGUAAAGCGUGCGCAGGCGGCUUCUCAAGUCAGGGGUGAAAGCCCAGAGCUCAACUCUGGAAUUGCCUUUGAGACUGAGUGGCUUGAGUACGAGAGAGGUGAGUGGAAUUCCCAGUGUAGAGGUGAAAUUCGUAGAUAUUGGGAAGAACACCGGUGGCGAAGGCGGCUCGCUGGCUCGUAACUGACGCUCAUGCACGACAGCGUGGGGAUCAAACAGG